AUUGAACGCUGGCGGCAUGCUUUACACAUGCAAGUCGAACGGUAACAGGCCGCAAGGUGCUGACGAGUGGCGAACGGGGGAGUAAUGCAUCGGAACGUGCCCCGUCGCGGGGGAUAACGCAGCGAAAGCUGUGCUAAAACCGCAUACGAUCUAGGGAUGAAACCUGGGGGCCGUAAGGUCUAGCGCGAUUUGAGCGUCCGAUGUCAGAUUAGGUAGUUGGUGGGGUAAAGGCUCACCAAGCCAACGAUCUGUAGCUGGUCUGAGAGGACGACCAGCCACACUGGGACUGAGACACGGCCCAAACUCCUACGGGAGGCAGCAGUGGGGAAAUUUGGACAAUGGGCGCAAGCCUGAUCCAGCAAUGCCGCGUGCAGGAAGAAGGCCUUCGGGUUGUAAACUGCUUUUGGACGGAACGAAAAGGUUUGGGUUAAUACCCUGGGCCGAUGACGGUACCGUAAGAAUAAGCACCGGCUAACUACGUGCCAGCCGCCGCGGUAA
RNAcentral lists this ribosomal RNA (498 nucleotides) under uncultured bacterium. RNAcentral describes it as "partial 16S ribosomal RNA". It matches the Rfam family "Bacterial small subunit ribosomal RNA", at positions 29 to 523 of the family's 1533-position model. The record is from RNAcentral.